AGUGAACGCUGGCGGUAGGCCUAACACAUGCAAGUCGAACGGCAGCACAGUAAGAGCUUGCUCUUACGAGUGGCGAGUGGCGGACGGGUGAGGAAUACAUCGGAAUCUACUUUUUCGUGGGGGAUAACGUAGGGAAACUUACGCUAAUACCGCAUACGACCUACGGGUGAAAGCAGGGGAUCUUCGGACCUUGCGCGAUUGAAUGAGCCGAUGUCGGAUUAGCUAGUUGGCGGGGUAAAGGCCCACCAAGGCGACGAUCCGUAGCUGGUCUGAGAGGAUGAUCGGCCACACUGGAGCUGAGACACGGACCAGACUCCUACGGGAGGCAGCAGUGGGGAAUAUUGGACAAUGGGCGCGAGCCUGAUCCAGCCAUACCGCGUGGGUGAAGAAGGCCUUCGGGUUGUAAAGCCCUUUUGUUGGGAAAGAAAAGCAGCAGGUUAAUACCCCGCUGUUCUGACGGUACCCAAAGAAUAAGCACCGGCUAACUUCGUG
Molecule: ribosomal RNA, 492 nt
Filed under: uncultured bacterium
Lineage: Bacteria
Description: partial 16S ribosomal RNA
Rfam family: Bacterial small subunit ribosomal RNA
Source: RNAcentral